GUCCACGCCGUAACGAUGGGUGCUAGGUGUGGGGUGUCGACUCCCUCCGUGCCGCAGCUAACGCAUUAAGCACCCCGCCUGGGGAGGUACGGCCGCAAGGCUAAACUCAAAGGAAUUGACGGGGACCCGCACAAGCAGCGGAGCAUGUGGUUUAAUUCGAUGCAACGCGAAGAACCUUACCAGGGCUUGACAUGCACUGGAAAACCGUAGAAAUACGGUCCUCCUUCGGGACCAGUGCACAGGUGGUGCAUGGCUGUCGU
RNAcentral lists this ribosomal RNA (260 nucleotides) under uncultured bacterium. Its description in RNAcentral is "partial 16S ribosomal RNA". It matches the Rfam family "Bacterial small subunit ribosomal RNA", at positions 793 to 1055 of the family's 1533-position model. The record is from RNAcentral.